RNAcentral lists this ribosomal RNA (163 nucleotides) under Lespedeza fasciculiflora. Its description in RNAcentral is "5.8S ribosomal RNA". It matches the Rfam family "5.8S ribosomal RNA". From Rfam's summary of the family: 5.8S ribosomal RNA (5.8S rRNA) is a component of the large subunit of the eukaryotic ribosome. It is transcribed by RNA polymerase I as part of the 45S precursor that also contains 18S and 28S rRNA. Functionally, it is thought that 5.8S rRNA may be involved in ribosome translocation. The record is from RNAcentral. Lineage: Eukaryota; Viridiplantae; Streptophyta; Magnoliopsida; Fabales; Fabaceae.
GAAUGACUCUCGGCAACGGAUAUCUCGGCUCUUGCAUCGAUGAAGAACGUAGCGAAAUGCGAUACUUGGUGUGAAUUGCAGAAUCCCGUGAACCAUUGAGUCUUUGAACGCAAGUUGCGCCCGAAGCCAUUAGGCCGAGGGCACGCCUGCCUGGGUGUCACAC